GAUGAACGCUGGCGGCGUGCCUAAUACAUGCAAGUCGAGCGAACAGACGAGGAGCUUGCUCCUCUGACGUUAGCGGCGGACGGGUGAGUAACACGUGGAUAACCUACUUAUAAUACUGGGAUAACUUCGGGAAACCGGAGCUAAUACCGGAUAAUAUAUUGAACCGCAUGGUUCAAUAGUGAAAGACGGUUUUGCUGUCACUUAUAGAUGGAUCCGCGCCGCAUUAGCUAGUUGGUAAGGUAACGGCUUACCAAGGCAACGAUGCGUAGCCGACCUGAGAGGGUGAUCGGCCACACUGGAACUGAGACACGGUCCAGACUCCUACGGGAGGCAGCAGUAGGGAAUCUUCCGCAAUGGGCGAAAGCUUGACGGAGCAACGCCGCGUGAGUGAUGAAGGUCUUCGGAUCGUAAAGCUCUGUUAUUAGGGAAGAACAACUGUGUAAGUAACUAUGCACGUCUUGACGGUACCUAAUCAGAAAGCCACGGCUAACUACGUG
RNAcentral lists this ribosomal RNA (497 nucleotides) under uncultured bacterium. Its description in RNAcentral is "partial 16S ribosomal RNA". It matches the Rfam family "Bacterial small subunit ribosomal RNA", at positions 28 to 507 of the family's 1533-position model. The record is from RNAcentral.